CAGUCGCCGCGGGAAUACGUAGGUGGCAAGCGUUGUCCGGAAUUAUUGGGCGUAAAGGGCUCGCAGGCGGUUUCUUAAGUCUGAUGUGAAAGCCCCCGGCUCAACCGGGGAGGGUCAUUGGAAACUGGGAAACUUGAGUGCAGAAGAGGAGAGUGGAAUUCCACGUGUAGCGGUGAAAUGCGUAGAGAUGUGGAGGAACACCAGUAGCGAAGGCGACUCUCUGGUCUGUAACUGACGCUGAGGAGCGAAAGCGUGGGGAGCGAACAGGAUUAGAUACCCCCGUAGUCCCUGUCUCUUAUAC
Molecule: ribosomal RNA, 301 nt
Filed under: uncultured bacterium
Lineage: Bacteria
Description: partial 16S ribosomal RNA
Rfam family: Bacterial small subunit ribosomal RNA
Source: RNAcentral